GAUGAACGCUGGCGGCGUGCCUAAUACAUGCAAGUCGAGCGAUCAGAUGAGGAGCUUGCUCCUCUGACGUUAGCGGCGGACGGGUGAGUAACAAGUCGAUAACCUCCCUAUAAGACUGGGAUAACUUCGGGAAACCGGAGCUACUACAGGAUAAUAUUUUGAACCGCAUGGAUCAAUAGUGAACGACGGUUUUGCUGUCACUUAGAGAUGGAUCCGCGCCGCAUUAGCUAGUUGGUAAGGUAACGGCUUACCAAGGCAACGAUGGGUAGCCGACCUGAGAGGAGGGUCGGCCACCCCAGAACGGAAACGAGACCCAGACGCCUACGGGAGGCGGCAGUAGGGAAUCUUACGGAAUGGGCGGAGGCCUGACGGGGCAACGCCGCGUGGGGGGUGAGGGGCUUCGGAUCGUAGAACUCUGUUAUUUGGGAAGAAGAAAGAUGUAAGUGACUAUGCGCGUGUUGACGGUACCUAAUCAAAAAGCCACGGCUAACUACGUG
RNAcentral lists this ribosomal RNA (497 nucleotides) under uncultured bacterium. Its description in RNAcentral is "partial 16S ribosomal RNA". It matches the Rfam family "Bacterial small subunit ribosomal RNA", at positions 28 to 507 of the family's 1533-position model. The record is from RNAcentral.